This 301-nucleotide ribosomal RNA is filed under the name uncultured bacterium. RNAcentral describes it as "partial 16S ribosomal RNA". It matches the Rfam family "Bacterial small subunit ribosomal RNA", at positions 509 to 807 of the family's 1533-position model. The record is from RNAcentral.
CAGCAGCCACGGUAAUACGAAGGGUGCAAGCGUUACUCGGAAUUACUGAGCGUAAAGCGUGCGUAGGUGGUGGUUUAAGUCCGUUGUGAAAGCCCUGGGCUCAACCUGGGAAUUGCAGUGGAUACUGGGUCACUAGAGUGUGGUAGAGGAUAGUGGAAUUUCCGGUGUAGCAGUGAAAUGCGUAGAGAUCGGAAGGAACAUCUGUGGCGAAGGCGACUAUCUGGGCCAACACUGACACUGAGGCACGAAAGCGUGGGGAGCAAACAGGAUUAGAUACCCGAGUAGUCCCUGUCUCUUAUAC